AAACUCAAAGGAAUUGACGGGGACCCGCACAAGCGGUGGAUGAUGUGGUUUAAUUCGAUGCAACGCGAAAAACCUUACCUACCCUUGACAUGUCUGGAAUCCUGAAGAGAUUUGGGAGUGCUCGAAAGAGAGCCAGAACACAGGUGGUGCAUGGCCGUCGUCAGCUCGUGUCGUGAGAUGUUGGGUUAAGUCCCGCAACGAGCGCAACCUUUGUCAUUAGUUGCUACGAAAGGGCACUUUAAUGAGACUGCCGGUGACAAACCGGAGGAAGGUGGGGAUGACGUCAGGUCAUCAUGGCCCUUAUGGGUAGGGCUACACACGUCAUACAAUGGCCGGGACAGAGGGCUGCCAACCCGCGAGGGGGAGCUAAUCCCAGAAACCCGGUCGUAGUCCGGAUCGUAGACUGCAACUCGACUGCGUGAAGUCGGAAUCGCUAGUAAUCGCGGAUCAGCUUGCCGCGGUGAAUACGUUCCCGGGUCUUGUACACACCGCCCGUCACACCAUGGGAGCGGGUUCUGCCAGAAGUAGUUAGCCUAACCGCAAGGGGGGCGA
This 552-nucleotide ribosomal RNA is filed under the name uncultured Roseateles sp. RNAcentral's name for it is "bacterial SSU rRNA". It matches the Rfam family "Bacterial small subunit ribosomal RNA", at positions 897 to 1453 of the family's 1533-position model. Lineage: Bacteria; Pseudomonadati; Pseudomonadota; Betaproteobacteria; Burkholderiales; Sphaerotilaceae. The record is from RNAcentral.